AGCUCCGGGAGUCGCAGACGGCAACAAUCACCUCCUCCUCCCUGCAACGGUUCACUUUGGACUGCACUGCAGACAAUUAUCGCACAGCAUCACCUACUUUCACCUCGUCACCUCUCGGGGGCCCUGUAUGUGAAGCAGUAUAAAGAAGAGGAAGAGGAAGAAACUACCAACAUGGACGACCACCAUAAGGACUGGUUACGGCUGAAGGGGAAGGUGAAGUUGGUCAACACCUCUGGCCAACUCCUCAAUAAGAUCCAGGCAUGGCUGGAGAAGAAGGAGAAUUGUGCAAAGAAUCUAUGGAAGCUGCAGUAUGGAAGAUGCAAAGAAGGCGGCAAAGGAGAGCGAAAUAAUUGAAGAGGAAAUAUUGGAACUGAUAGAAAAGCUAAAGAUGGAGAGAGUGAACCCUAUGCAAGAUGCAAGCGAGUACAUUGCAAUGUGUAUUUUUGAAGCCAUGUCGGGGAUGGGUCACAAAGGGCGGCUCCUGCAUGGUUUUAUUAAAGUUGGUGAUACUCUAAUGGCACUAUGUAGUUUUUUCGUAAUUUUGAGCCUUAAAAAACGAGGAAAAAUAUCAACAAUGCUGGUGACAACGAUAAUACAGGAACUUGCAGUCGCCGGAGGAAAGUUUGCAGCUAAAGGAUUAUGUAUGGCAGUGGCAGGAGGGAUUGGAAUGGUAUUCGCACUUCCGGAGUCGAUUGACAGCUGGAAGGAGCUUGUCACAAAAAAGCAUGUGACUGAAGCCAGCCAAUCACUGAAGAACACAGCUGAAAACAUUGAUCAGUUCUGCAAGGACCUGAGGAACAAUCUUAAAAGGAUUCAGGAGGACAUUGAACAGAUGAACCAGCAAAUGAACCAGCAGACGACCAACAAUAAAGGAAACCAGAGCAAUCAGAACCAGCAGACCAACAGCCAUCAAGGAGACCAGAGAAAUCAGAACCAGCAGACCAAUAGCAAACCAGGGGAUGAUGAUGAGGAGGACAAGCAGCAGAACAACAGGGGGCAUUUGGACAUCCAGUUUACGGACAGCGACGAGGAGAGUGACAGCGACGAGGAGAGUGACAGCGAUGAGGAGAGCGACAGUGACGAGGAAGGCUAUUUGCAGAUGGGACUGUUCAAUAUCAGGUCCAUGGUCCAAAAGGCUGAUAUGGUAUCGGAAGUCAUCCAAACAAACAUGCUCGAUGUCUUUCUCACCACGGAAACCUGGUUAAGGCCUUUAAAUUUCGAGACAGUGCUCCAGAACGCUUGUCCCCCUAACUUUGAAUUCCACCAUCAGGCCAGACCAAAGGGGCCUGAUGGUAAAGAAAGAAGAGGCGGCGGCGUGGCCAUCCAACACAGGGAUGUGUACAUCGGCCAAGAGAUAAGGGUUCCAUUCGAUACAGCGUUUGAGUAUGUGGCCGUGGUCCUGGAAAACGACCAGUGGGAGGUUCCCGUCCUCUUGGUCAACGUGUACUUUCCUCCGGGAUACAACCGGGUACAAUUUCAGCGGUUUGUAUAUGACUUCAGCAAGCUGCUGGACAAUUUAGAGGAGAGGGGGUACGACCACGUCAUCUUCACAGGUGAUUUCAAUAUCCACAUGGACGAAGGCAUGCAGUCCUCUGCCAUAGAGUUUCAUUGGCUGUUAAAUAAUAGGGGUCUUGAGCUACGUACCAACGGGCCAACACGUUAUCCAGGGAGACACACACUGGACCUGGUCUUCACCCGGAAUGUGGAUAUUCGCAAUUUAUCCUAUGAAUACACUCCCGUUGAGGAACGUGUCUCGGAUCAUGUGAUUAUUUUAUUCCAAGCCACUCCGAUAUCAAUAGACAAAAAAAAAAAAAAAAAAGAGAAAAAGAGGAAAUUCAUACGAAAAAAAUAA
Molecule: long non-coding RNA, 1852 nt
Organism: Gadus morhua (Atlantic cod)
Lineage: Eukaryota; Metazoa; Chordata; Actinopteri; Gadiformes; Gadidae
Source: Ensembl